CCUACGGGGGGCUGCAGUGGGGAAUAUUGCGCAAUGGGCGAAAGCCUGACGCAGCGACGCCGCGUGAGGGAUGAAGGUCUUCGGAUCGUAAACCUCUGUCAGCAGGGAAGAACGGUCACUGUGCUAAUCAGCAGUGAAUUGACGGUACCUGCAAAGGAAGCACCGGCUAACUCCGUGCCAGCAGCCGCGGUAAUACGGAGGGUGCGAGCGUUAAUCGGAAUUACUGGGCGUAAAGCGCUCGUAGGCGGUAUGUCAAGUCAAGGGUGAAAUCCCCGCGCUCAACGUGGGAACUGCCUUUGAAACUGGCAAACUGGAGUGUGUGAGAGGAUAGUGGAAUGCCAGGUGUAGGAGUGAAAGCCGUAGAUAUCUGGAGGAACAUCAGUGGCGAAGGCGACUAUCUGGCACAUAACUGACGCUGAGGCACGAAAGUGCGGGUAUCGAACAGGAUUAGAUACCCCUGUAGUC
RNAcentral lists this ribosomal RNA (465 nucleotides) under uncultured bacterium. RNAcentral describes it as "partial 16S ribosomal RNA". It matches the Rfam family "Bacterial small subunit ribosomal RNA", at positions 338 to 795 of the family's 1533-position model. The record is from RNAcentral.